CUCAGAUAAUAACCACUCUGUUCAAGUAAUAAUAAUAUGACACACAUAGAAAUUAAAGGCUUUGUAUCUAUCUACAUAAACCCCCCAUAACCUUGGAUCCCUGCACAAUUCAAGCACUACUAGUACGUUCAAGUAAUCCAUCUACCUCUCUGCCAAGAUGUGGAAGAGCAUCAUCAAUCACCAAAAUCAUCCUUACUCUCUCAUAUUUUACUUCAUCAAGAUCCUCUUCACCAUCAUCAUCUCCUGCUGCUGUCCAUACGUCUCAUGUUAUUCCAAUGCCUCUACCACUUCCUCUUCACAAAGAUUAUUAUGCCUCCCUCACCAGCGCUCUGCUUUGUUGCAGUUCAAACAGGAGUUGGUUUUAAUAGGUUCAUGAAAUUGAUCGUUUAUUUGGGAGGAGGCUUGAAGCACUUCUUGACUUUCAUUUGGUUUUAAUAGGUUUAGAGAUUUGUUUACAAAUGGAAUCGGGGAGGAACUGAAUUUGGAUUGGAAAAUGAUGAUAACAAUGGAACCCAAGGAAAAAAAAGGAAAAAAAAAAAAAAAAAAGAGUUAGAUAAAAAUGUUGUCACGGUUUUCUUCGAGUAAGCCAAUCGAAUUGAGUUCCAAGCUCAAAUACUGUAUUGGUUCAAAUAAAAUCUCCCCAGAAAAAAAGAAAAUGAAAAAAAAAACACAUUUUGAUGUACAUACAGAUUGUGAAUAAGAAACAUGGAUUUAGGAUUAAAAAUGGAUAAAUGUUCCUUAGCAUUUAGUGUCUUUUUCACCAAUUUGUAACUUUUUAGAAUUUUGUAGGUAACAAUAAUAAUAAUAAACCUCAAUGAAGCUGGCUCAAAAUAAAUGAUCCUAAAGUGCAUUUAACCCAAUUUUAUAGUAAUGAUCAUGUUUGAGAGAGAAUUUCAUCUAUCUCCCGUAAAUUCGAAAAGAAUUCGUUGAUGCCUCUAAAUUUCAAAAAUGAUCAUUUAUCUUUGAGAUUUGGAUAAAUUAGAGUAUACACCUCCGCCGAUUUUAAUCACAGAGCAGCCUAAUCUCUACAGCAUUCAUCCCGAACAUCUUGUUAGUUUCUUUUUUCUCCUAUCCCAUUUCUCUUUCUUACAACCCACUUCAAAUUUUGUUAUUAAUAUAGACACUGAAACUAAGACACUAAUUAACGAUUUCAUUCUAGAUUCUUGAUGAUGUCACUGGCAAUUUUUUUAUGGGCUUUUAACUUUAUAUAUAUAUAUAUAUAUAUGUAUGCUUGUUGAGUUUCUUGAAUUUAUACAUAUAUAUAUUUGGUAAUGAUACAGAGGAUCAUCAGUUGAGGGAUGGACAGCAACCCAUGUUUUUAUACACCCAAAGAAGAAUAAAGAGUAAUGGAGAAGACGUCAUUUUGGAGAAAGUUGAUGGGUUUGGAAGAUUCGUCAAGCUGAUAUACCUGUGAAGGAGGAUUGGCAGAUUAUUUGGCUCAAAAAUAGACUUCAAUUAUCAGGAAAUCGGAGAAGUGAAACACAGUGGAGGAUGAAUGAAUACAGACUCAAUCAAAAUGAAGAGGAGAGCAACAUUACUGAGAGGUCAAUGGAAACAAAGCACCACCAAAGAGGAAGAGGAAAACAGAAUCUUCAGAAUUGUUGCUGACAACUGUGGCAUCAUGAACAGCUUGUCAUCAUGAACAGCUUGUCAAGCUUCUGAAUAAUAUUUUGUAGUUUUCUGUGUUUUGAUUUUC
Ziziphus jujuba (common jujube) is the source of this 1696-nucleotide long non-coding RNA. RefSeq lists it as uncharacterized. NCBI's taxonomy places the organism in Eukaryota, Viridiplantae, Streptophyta, Magnoliopsida, Rosales, Rhamnaceae. The transcript has 2 exons. The record is from RefSeq and is a predicted model, not a curated record.